UAAGGAAUAUUGGUCAAUGGACGCAAGUCUGAACCAGCCAUGCCGCGUGCAGGAUGAAGGCCCUCUGGGUCGUAAACUGCUUUUAUCUAUGAAGAAAACGCCUGUUUCUACGGGCAUUGACGGUAAUAGAGGAAUAAGCACCGGCUAACUCCGUGCCAGCAGCCGCGGUAAUACGGAGGGUGCAAGCGUUAUCCGGAUUUACUGGGUUUAAAGGGUGCGUAGGCGGGUUGAUAAGUCAGUGGUGAAAGCCCCGAGCCUAACUCGGGAACUGCCAUUGAUACUAUCAAUCUUGAAUUCAGUUGAGGUGGGCGGAAUGUGUCGUGUAGCGGUGAAAUGCUUAGAUAUGACACAGAACACCAAUUGCGAAGGCAGCUCGCUAAACUGACAUUGACGCUGAGGCACGAAAGCGUGGGGAUCAAACAGGAUUAGAUACCCCGGUAGUCC
This 444-nucleotide ribosomal RNA is filed under the name uncultured bacterium. Its description in RNAcentral is "bacterial SSU rRNA". It matches the Rfam family "Bacterial small subunit ribosomal RNA", at positions 355 to 796 of the family's 1533-position model. The record is from RNAcentral.